RNAcentral lists this ribosomal RNA (178 nucleotides) under uncultured bacterium. RNAcentral's name for it is "partial 16S ribosomal RNA". It matches the Rfam family "Bacterial small subunit ribosomal RNA", at positions 338 to 508 of the family's 1533-position model. The record is from RNAcentral.
CCUACGGGAGGCAGCAGUGGGGAAUUUUGGACAAUGGGCGCAAGCCUGAUCCAGCCAUGCCGCGUGAGUGAAGAAGGCCUUCGGGUUGUAAAGCUCUUUCGGACGGAAAGAAAUCGCUCUGGUGAACAAUCGGAGUGGAUGACGGUACCGUAAGAAGAAGCACCGGCUAACUACGUGC